UAGGGAAUCUUCCGCAAUGGGCGAAAGCCUGACGGAGCAAUGCCGCGUGAGUGAAGAAGGCCUUCGGGUCGUAAAACUCUGUUAUAAGAGAAGAACAAAUUGUAGAGUAACUGCUACAGUCUUGACGGUAUCUUAUCAGAAAGCCACGGCUAACUACGUGCCAGCAGCCGCGGUAAUACGUAGGUGGCAAGCGUUGUCCGGAUUUAUUGGGCGUAAAGGGAGCGCAGGUGGUUUCUUAAGUCUGAUGUGAAAGCCCACGGCUUAACCGUGGAGGGUCAUUGGAAACUGGGAAACUUGAGUACAGAAGAGGAAUGUGGAACUCCAUGUGUAGCGGUGGAAUGCGUAGAUAUAUGGAAGAACACCAGUGGCGAACGCGACAUUCUGGUCUGUUACUGACACUGAGGCUCGAAAGCGUGGGGAGCAAACAGG
This 429-nucleotide ribosomal RNA is filed under the name Acidobacteriota bacterium. Its description in RNAcentral is "Acidobacteria bacterium partial 16S ribosomal RNA". It matches the Rfam family "Bacterial small subunit ribosomal RNA", at positions 355 to 776 of the family's 1533-position model. The record is from RNAcentral. Lineage: Bacteria; Pseudomonadati; Acidobacteriota.